AACGUAGGACGCAAGCGUUAUCCGGAGUUACUGGGCGUAAAGCGCGUGCAGGCGGGUUUGUAAGUCGGUUAUGAAAGCUCCUGGCUAAACUGGGAGAGGUUGACCGAGACUGCAAGUCUAGAGUGAGACAGAGGAACACGGAAUUCCGGGUGUAGUGGUGAAAUGCGUAGAUAUCCGGAGGAACACCAGUGGCGAAGGCGGUGUUCUGGGUCUCAACUGACGCUGAGGCGCGAAAGCGUGGGGAGCGAACGGG
RNAcentral lists this ribosomal RNA (253 nucleotides) under uncultured bacterium. RNAcentral describes it as "partial 16S ribosomal RNA". It matches the Rfam family "Bacterial small subunit ribosomal RNA", at positions 524 to 776 of the family's 1533-position model. The record is from RNAcentral.